Molecule: long non-coding RNA, 936 nt
Organism: Pistacia vera
Lineage: Eukaryota; Viridiplantae; Streptophyta; Magnoliopsida; Sapindales; Anacardiaceae
Exons: 3
Source: RefSeq, a predicted model, not a curated record
UUUAAUACUCCUUACUGUCGCUAAAGCCCUUCUCUUUCGCAGAACUCGAAAUAGCUCUGCUCUGCUUUUUACAACACCCACCUUAAUAAAAACCCUAAUUUUACAUCUUCUUUACCGCAAUUAUCAUUUCUAUUCAAUUUUAAUCCCAAGAGUCAAAUCUUUUCAUUCAUUUUCAAGUGAUGGAGAAUUUGAUUACUGAAAUUCAAGUGGAAGAGGCGGGCAGGUAUUCGGAUCUCGGAGUCGGAUCCUUUUCUGGGUUCCAAAGAAGGAUCGAGUUUCACCCGGCUAGAAAAGUCUUUAGUGGGCUUAGUAUGGUGGUGAGAAUGGGGAUUUUAAAUUGGAGACGCUGAAUCCAAGUGGGUCGGAGCAGAAGAAAACUGGGACGGGUCAGGGAAGGGUCCGAGUGGUGGGUCGGGGAAGAGAGUUGAUGGGUCGGAGUUUUGGGAUUGUGCGUUGGAUCCUAAGCUGAGUUUUGGGAUGACUUUCCGGAGAAUUGGCGCUGGUCUUGAAAAUCUUGGAAAUACUUGUUUUCUCAAUUCAGCGUUGAGUGUCUGACAUAUAUAGAGCCUUUAACGGCAUACUUGCAGAGUGGCAAGCAUCGAAAUUCUUGUGUGAGAGUGAGGAUGAAAGGUGUUGGGAUGAAGAGAGAAUUGCUCUCUUGCAACUUAAACCAUUGUGGAAUAGUACUUAUUACCUUCAAGAUUCGGUGGAAAAGGUGUUGGGAUGAAAACUCAAGACUGUUGUCAAUGGAGAAGGGUUGAGUGCAGCAACACAAUAGGCAAAGUGAUCAAACUCUAUGUUAGUUAUGUGAAAAGAACUAAUUGUGAGAUCAGUUGUAUAUGUAUGUUAAUUCGAAUCAUACAGUAGUAGAAACUAACCCAAAGUCUCAAUCUAAAAUUUAUACAGCAGAAACCACAAAACAGAUCCUAAUUUCUC